RNAcentral lists this ribosomal RNA (1206 nucleotides) under Cheilolejeunea lindenbergii. RNAcentral describes it as "eukaryotic LSU rRNA". The stretch from base 564 to 717 matches the Rfam family "5.8S ribosomal RNA". Lineage: Eukaryota; Viridiplantae; Streptophyta; Jungermanniopsida; Porellales; Lejeuneaceae. The record is from RNAcentral.
CCGCCGGUGUUGUUGUGAGAAGUUCAUUAAACCUUAUCAUUUAGAGGAAGGAGAAGUCGUAACAAGGUUUCCGUAGGUGAACCUGCGGAAGGAUCAUUGAACACACGAUCUCGGAAAAACCCUGCGAAUCGCUCUAGUAUCUCGAGGGGUCGUGCUGGGAGGCACGAUCGUCGGUCUCGGAGUCGCGGAUUCAUGUGCAUCCGCCGUGAUCCGCCUGGUGGUGCGUGCUGGGAGCAAUGCGUCUCCGGAGAACCGUCGGAACACUCUUCGGCACGCGUGGUCUCGUGUUUGCUUGCGUGCUGUGUGAUCGAGAAGAUCUCCGCUCCUCUCGAUGGCGCCCGCUGCGCUCGAAGGCCGGGAGUGCGUUCCCCUCCUCCGAGGGGGAAGGUCGGGAGUCCCGAGAGGUUUCUUUCUCCUCGAAGGCUCUCCUCUCUCCCUUCGGUGCCCCCUUUUUUUCCCACUAGGAACCUGGUGAAACGAGAUUUUGAUGGGCUGAGUUGGGCGGAGGAGGAUCCGUUCCGGACGGAUUCCCCGAACCCCAAGGACAGCGAGAAAACGCAAAUGACUCUNNNNNNCGGAUAUCUUGGCUCUUGCAACGAUGAAGAACGCAGCGAAAUGCGAUACCUAGUGUGAAUUGCAGAAUUCCGCGAAUCAUCGAGUUUUUGAACGCAAGUUGCGCCCGAGGCUCGUUCCGAGGGCAUGCCUGCCUGAGCGUCCGCUCCGACCCACCCACAAAUCUCCCUCUCUCUCCCCCCUCCUCUAGCUGGGGAGGAGGAUCGAGAAAAAGGGUUCGAAGUGCGUGUGGAACUGGUCGUCCGGGAACCCGAUCGUCCCUCUUGCGGCGACGGUCGAAGGAUUCGCGGNUGGCUGAAAACUGGGAGCCGUCCGUCAAGCGCGCGCAGUGGGCAAGGGUGCGUCGCGAGAGGGUGCCGUCCUCUCCUCGUGAGAUGGACGUUCGUAACAAAAGCGUCGUGCCUCCACUGCGGAGUCCAGACUUGGAGGAUUGGCGAGAUACCAUAAAAACAUGGGAACGGGAAGGCUUCGGUCGUCUUCUCAGCGCCCUCGCCCCCAACAGAUCUGUGGGGGCGAGCGGCGUGUCAGGAGGAGGUUCCGGCCUGAGCGUGAUGUUGUUUGGACCUCAGAUCAGACAAGACCACCCGCUGAGUUUAAGCAUAUCACUAAGCGGAGGAGAAGAAACUAACAAGG